Molecule: ribosomal RNA, 396 nt
Filed under: uncultured bacterium
Lineage: Bacteria
Description: bacterial SSU rRNA
Rfam family: Bacterial small subunit ribosomal RNA
Source: RNAcentral
AUUGAACGCUGGCGGCAUGCCUUACACAUGCAAGUCGAACGGCAGCGGACCUUCGGGUGCCGGCGAGUGGCGAACAGGUGAGUAAUAUAUCGGAACGUACCUUUCAGUGGGGGAUAACGUAGCGAAAGUUACGCUAAUACCGCAUAUUCUGUGAGCAGGAAAGCAGGGGAUCGCAAGACCUUGCGCUGAUUGAGCGGCCGAUAUCAGAUUAGCUAGUUGGUGAGGUAAAGGCUCACCAAGGCGACGAUCUGUAGCGGGUCUGAGAGGAUGAUCCGCCACACUGGAACUGAGACACGGUCCAGACUCCUACGGGAGGCAGCAGUGGGGAAUUUUUGGACAAUGGGCGCAAGCCUGAUCCAGCCAUGCCGCGUGAGUGAAGAAGGCCUCGGUUGUAAG